This 1565-nucleotide ribosomal RNA is filed under the name Trinomys iheringi (Ihering's Atlantic spiny-rat). Its description in RNAcentral is "16S ribosomal RNA". It matches the Rfam family "Bacterial large subunit ribosomal RNA", at positions 426 to 2925 of the family's 2925-position model. Lineage: Eukaryota; Metazoa; Chordata; Mammalia; Rodentia; Echimyidae. The record is from RNAcentral.
ACUAAAUCUAGCCUGACCUAUAUACCCCACAACACAAGUACAAUAAACACAUAAAAUAAAACAUUCACACUUAAAAAGUAUAGGAGAUAGAAAUUUAUUCAAGCGCUAUAGAAACAGUACCGCAAGGGAAAGAUGAAAGAAGGACAAAAAGUACAAAACAGCAUAGAUUACACCUAGUACCUUUUGCAUAAUGAGUUAACCAGAAUAACUUGACAAAAAGAAUUUUAGUCAAACUUCCCGAAACCAAACGAGCUACUUCUGAACAGCUAAUCAAUGAGCAAACUCGUCUAUGUAGCAAAAUAGUGAGAAGAUUCAAAAGUAGAGGUGAAAAGCCAAUCGAGCUUGGAGAUAGCUGGUUAUCCAAACAAGAAUUUUAGUUCAACUUUAAGUUUUCCUAGAAUACUCUCAAAAUUUAAAUGAAAACUUAAAUGCUAACUUAAGGAGGGACAGCUCCUUAAAUAAGGAUACAUCCUUGAACAGAGGGUAAGAAAUAACAUAAUCAUAGUAGGCCCAAGAGCAGCCACCAAUUAAGAAAGCGUUCAAGCUCAACAUAAUUCCUUCCAAAUAUCCCUAAAAUAUCAUUCAACCCCUGAUACAAACAAUUGGAUUAAUCUAUAGACAUAUAGAAGAAAUAAUGUUAACAUUAGUAAUUAGAACUACUUCUCCUUGCACAAGCUUAAGUUAAACCAUCCUAACUAGUUAACAAUUUUAUAACAUAUACAUCUAACUAGCCAACUAUAUAUAUAUAAACUGUUAACCCAACUCAGGAGUGCAACAAGGAAAGACUAAAAUAAGCAAAAGGAACUCGGCAAACAUAAACCCCGCCUGUUUACCAAAAACAUCACCUCUAGCAUAACAAGUAUUAGAGGCCCUGCCUGCCCAGUGACCAUUAAAGUUAAACGGCCGCGGUAUCCUGACCGUGCAAAGGUAGCAUAAUCACUUGUUCUUUAAAUAAGGACUAGUAUGAACGGCUUGACGAGGGUUUAACUGUCUCUUGCUUAUAGUCAAUGAAAUUGACCUUCCCGUGAAGAGGCGGGAAUAAGACAAUAAGACGAGAAGACCCUAUGGAGCUUAAAUUCAUUAAUUCACUUUUACAUUAUUAAUCUACAAGAGACAAAAAACAAAUUAUGAAUUAACAAUUUCGGUUGGGGUGACCUCGGAGUAAAAAGAAACCUCCGAAUGAUAUUAACUUAGACACACAAGUCAAAGUUCCUAUCAUAAAUUGACCCAGUAACUAUCUGAUCAACGAACCAAGUUACCCUAGGGAUAACAGCGCAAUCCUAUUUUAGAGUCCAUAUCGACAAUAGGGUUUACGACCUCGAUGUUGGAUCAGGACCCCCAAAUGGUGCAACCGCUAUUCAAGGUUCGUUUGUUCAACGAUUAAAGUCCUACGUGAUCUGAGUUCAGACCGGAGUAAUCCAGGUCGGUUUCUAUCUAUUAAAAAUUCUUCCCAGUACGAAAGGACAAGAAGAAUGAGGCCAAUAACAUAAUCAUGCCUUAAUAGCAAAAGAAUGAUAUUAUAUCAACUCCUUAACUAUUGAUCCACACGCCCAAGACAAGGGCCG